Molecule: ribosomal RNA, 252 nt
Filed under: uncultured Thermosinus sp.
Lineage: Bacteria; Bacillati; Bacillota; Negativicutes; Selenomonadales; Sporomusaceae
Description: partial 16S ribosomal RNA
Rfam family: Bacterial small subunit ribosomal RNA
Source: RNAcentral
UACGUAGGUGGCGAGCGUUGUCCGGAAUUAUUGGGCGUAAAGCGCGCGUAGGUGGGAUAGUAAGUCUACUUUAAAAGUGCGGGGCUCAACCCCGUGAUGGGGUGGAAACUGCUAUUCUUGAGUGCAGGAGAGGAAAGCGGAAUUCCCAGUGUAGCGGUGAAAUGCGUAGAUAUUGGGAGGAACACCAGUGGCGAAGGCGGCUUUCUGGACUGUGUCUGACACUGAGGCGCGAAAGCCAGGGGAGCGAACGGG